AGUUGCGCCCGAAGCCUUCGGGCCGAGGGCACGUCUGCCUGGGUGUCACGCACAGUCGCCCCUGCCGCACCGUCUCCUCGGUGAAGGGUUGGGGCCGGAUGUUGGUCUCCCGCGAGCCGCGACUCGCGGAUGGCUUAAAAUCGGAGUCCGUGACGCCGGACAUCGCGUCGCAUGGUGGGUGAGGAAAUCUCGAGACCCGUCGCGGGUGUCGUCACGGUUCGGCACAACCUCGGAGCGCUGUUGGCAGCGCCUUUCGACGCGACCCCAGGUCGGGCGGGACUACCCGCUGAGUUUAAGCAUAUCAAUAAGCGGAGGAAAAGAAACUUACGAGGAUUCCCUUAGUAACGGCGAGCGAACCGGGAAGAGCCC
RNAcentral lists this ribosomal RNA (369 nucleotides) under Xanthophyllum siamense. RNAcentral describes it as "eukaryotic LSU rRNA". The stretch from base 260 to 369 matches the Rfam family "Eukaryotic large subunit ribosomal RNA", at positions 1 to 110 of the family's 3401-position model. The record is from RNAcentral. Lineage: Eukaryota; Viridiplantae; Streptophyta; Magnoliopsida; Fabales; Polygalaceae.